GAUGAACGCUGACAGAAUGCUUAACACAUGCAAGUCAACUUGAAUUUGGGUUUUUAACUUAGGUUUGGGUGGCGGACGGGUGAGUAACGCGUAAAGAACUUGCCUCACAGCUAGGGACAACAUUUGGAAACGAAUGCUAAUACCUAAUAUUAUGAUAAUAGGGCAUCCUAUAAUUAUGAAAGCUAUAAGCGCUGUGAGAGAGCUUUGCGUCCCAUUAGCUAGUUGGAGAGGUAACGGCUCACCAAGGCGAUGAUGGGUAGCCGGCCUGAGAGGGUGAUCGGCCACAAGGGGACUGAGACACGGCCCUUACUCCUACGGGAGGCAGCAGUGGGGAAUAUUGGACAAUGGACCAAGAGUCUGAUCCAGCAAUUCUGUGUGCACGAUGAAGUUUUUCGGAAUGUAAAGUGCUUUCAGUUGGGAAGAAAGAAAUGACGGUACCAACAGAAGAAGUGGCGGCUAAAUACGUG
RNAcentral lists this ribosomal RNA (467 nucleotides) under uncultured bacterium. RNAcentral's name for it is "partial 16S ribosomal RNA". It matches the Rfam family "Bacterial small subunit ribosomal RNA", at positions 28 to 507 of the family's 1533-position model. The record is from RNAcentral.